RNAcentral lists this ribosomal RNA (253 nucleotides) under uncultured microorganism. RNAcentral's name for it is "partial 16S ribosomal RNA". It matches the Rfam family "Bacterial small subunit ribosomal RNA", at positions 524 to 776 of the family's 1533-position model. The record is from RNAcentral.
UACGGAGGGUGCAAGCGUUAAUCGGAAUUACUGGGCGUAAAGCGUACGUAGGCGGCUUGUUAAGCAAGAUGUGAAAUCCCCGGGCUCAACCUGGGAAUGGCAUUUUGAACUGGCAGGCUCGAGUUCUGAAGAGGGUGGUAGAAUUUCCAGUGUAGCGGUGAAAUGCGUAGAUAUCGGGAGGAACACCAGUAGCGAAGGCGGCCAUCUGGCUGGUAACUGACGCUGAGGUGCGAGAGCGUGGGGAGCAAACAGG